This 505-nucleotide ribosomal RNA is filed under the name uncultured Bacillaceae bacterium. RNAcentral describes it as "partial 16S ribosomal RNA". The record is from RNAcentral. Lineage: Bacteria; Bacillati; Bacillota; Bacilli; Caryophanales; Bacillaceae.
CACGUAGUUAGCCGGGGCUUUCUGGUGAGGUACCGUCAAGGGGUGAGCUUCUUCAACUCACCCUUGUUCUUCCCUCACAACAGAGUUUUACGAUCCGAAGACCUUCAUCACUCACGCGGCGUCGCUCCGUCAGACUUUCAUCCAUUGCGGAAGAUUCCCUACUGCUGCCUCCCGUAGGAGUCUGGGCCGUGUCUCAGUCCCAGUGUGGCCGAUCACCCUCUCAGGUCGGCUACGCAUCGUCGCCUUGGUGAGCUUUUAUCCCACCAACCAGCUAAUGCGACGCGGGCCCAUCUUUUGGCGACAGCUCGAAGAGCCGUCUUUCAUUUUUCCUUCAGGCGAAGGAAAUCUUAUCCGGUAUUAGCUCCAGUUUCCCGGAGUUAUCCCGAACCAUAAGGCAGGUUGCCCACGUGUUACUCACCCAUCCGCCGCUCAUUCCACAGACGUCCGCUCCGAAGAGCUUCUGUCUGCUUCCUGCGCUCGACUUGCAUGUAUUAGGCACGCCGCC